ACCAGCACCACUCUGAUCUCUCUCACCAUUUUUUUUUUCUCCACCUGCAGGUUUAUGUGACCGGAAACAAAAAGAAGUUUCCAGAGCGAUCCGGAAAGCUCGGUGCAUGGGGUUCAUGGCUGUCACCCACAAACACCCGCAGCUGAUGAAGGAUCCCAACAUCUGCAACGUCAAACACCUGGAAUAGUGCGUUGUGCCCGCUCCUCACUGAGCUGAUGUUCCAUUGGACCAUGAAGCCGCUGAAGCUUUAGAGUCCUUCAGGUGUCACGGGCGUCUUGGUGGCUUUCCUCACUCAGCUCAUCCUUCCUGCUGCAAAGAUGGUUACGAGACGAGUCGGUCUCCUGCAGGUUCUUCAUCAGUCUCCUGCAGGUUCUUCAUGACGUUGACAGCUGGCUGUUUAAGUCCUGAUUGAGCUGCAUUAAA
Long non-coding RNA from Thalassophryne amazonica, 423 nucleotides. RefSeq lists it as uncharacterized. The record is from RefSeq and is a predicted model, not a curated record. The transcript is spliced from 3 exons. Lineage: Eukaryota; Metazoa; Chordata; Actinopteri; Batrachoidiformes; Batrachoididae.